GAUCCUGAGUAAUCGCGGUCGGCUUAUGUCGGCUGAGGAAAGUCCAUGCUCGCACAGGCUGCGAUGCCUGUAGUGUUCGUGCUCGGUGAAAAAAUAAGCCGGGGGACGUUAGCAAUAGCGUUACGGCGGGGAAAAA
Molecule: RNase P RNA, 136 nt
Filed under: Levilactobacillus brevis
Lineage: Bacteria; Bacillati; Bacillota; Bacilli; Lactobacillales; Lactobacillaceae
Description: partial RNase P RNA component class B
Rfam family: Bacterial RNase P class B
About the family: Ribonuclease P (RNase P) is a ubiquitous endoribonuclease, found in archaea, bacteria and eukarya as well as chloroplasts and mitochondria. Its best characterised activity is the generation of mature 5'-ends of tRNAs by cleaving the 5'-leader elements of precursor-tRNAs. Cellular RNase Ps are ribonucleoproteins.
Source: RNAcentral